RNAcentral lists this ribosomal RNA (538 nucleotides) under uncultured bacterium. RNAcentral describes it as "partial 16S ribosomal RNA". It matches the Rfam family "Bacterial small subunit ribosomal RNA", at positions 332 to 875 of the family's 1533-position model. The record is from RNAcentral.
CNNUUGCCUACGGGAGGCAGCAGUGGGGAAUUUUGGACAAUGGGCGAAAGCCUGAUCCAGCCAUGCCGCGUGCAGGAUGAAGGCCUUCGGGUUGUAAACUGCUUUUGUACGGAACGAAAAGCCUCUUUCUAAUAAAGAGGGGUCAUGACGGUACCGUAAGAAUAAGCACCGGCUAACUACGUGCCAGCAGCCGCGGUAAUACGUAGGGUGCAAGCGUUAAUCGGAAUUACUGGGCGUAAAGCGUGCGCAGGCGGUUUUGNAAGACAGAGGUGAAAUCCCCGGGCUCAACCUGGGAACUGCCUUUGUGACUGCAAGGCUGGAGUGCGGCANANGGGGAUGGAAUUCCGCGUGUANNAGUGAAAUGCGUAGAUAUGCGGAGGAACACCGAUGGCGAAGGCNAUCCCCUGGGCCUGCACUGACGCUCAUGCACGAANGCGUGGNGAUUAGAUACCCUGGUNNUCCACGCCCUANGAUNUCNACUGGUUGUUGGGUCUUCACUGANUCNGUAACGAAGCUAACUCGUGAAGUUGACCGCCUG